UUGAUUUUAUUAUUCUUUUUAUAUUUAUGUUAAACAGUAUACCAUCUCUUCUUUUUCCCACUCUCAUCGCCUUCAACUCCCUCCAUUUCGACCUCCAAACAUUAAGAAACCGCAUAGCAAUGCGAACAGAAAAAGUACUUCCUUCUCUGUCCUGCCUUUCGAUCUUUCUCCCCCUCCAAUCGAUGAGGACCUCCUUGUCGUGGAUCUUUCUCAUUUUGGCCGACUAAGGGGUAAUUUUCUUCUUUCUGUCUACUUGUCUCUUUUCAUGUUCUAUUACUUUUGAGUCCACUCUUAAUAGAAUGCUUAUAAAAGUUUUCCCACCCUUCUUUAAAGCAUUCCACAUAUAAUAAUUGAGAUUCAUGGCUGCUUCAUGGUGUA
Molecule: long non-coding RNA, 378 nt
Organism: Cucumis melo (muskmelon)
Lineage: Eukaryota; Viridiplantae; Streptophyta; Magnoliopsida; Cucurbitales; Cucurbitaceae
Exons: 2
Source: RefSeq, a predicted model, not a curated record